This 817-nucleotide small RNA is filed under the name Arabidopsis thaliana (thale cress). RNAcentral describes it as "ATSL204520". The record is from RNAcentral. Lineage: Eukaryota; Viridiplantae; Streptophyta; Magnoliopsida; Brassicales; Brassicaceae.
UGUUUAUUGCUUCUAAGCAAUUUUUCGUUGGUUUUAUCCUCUUUUGGGAUAAAAUGGGUAUAAGUGUUGUCUAACCACUCCGAAUCCAUCUUUAACUCUUAUAAUUAGUCAAAUGCAUUGGAUUGUGACAUAUUUUGACCAAAUAAACCCUAACAAAGCUAUUGACUGCUUCUAAGCAUUUUUUUGUUGGUUUUAGCCUCUUUUGAGAGGAAAUGAGUAUAAAUGUUGUCUAAACACUCCUAAUCCUUCUUUGACUCUUCUAAUUAUUCAUGUGCAUUGGAUUCUUACACAUUUUAACCAAAGAAACACUAACAAAGCUAUUCACUGCUUCUAAGCAAAUUUUUUGUUGGUUUUAGCCUCUUUUGAGAGAAAAUGGGUGUAAAUGUUGUCUGAACACUCUUAAUCCAUCUCUAACUCAAAUAAUUUUUCCAAUGCAUUGGAUUGUAACACAUUUUGACUAAAGAAACACUAACAAAGAUAUUGAGUGCUUCUAAGCAAUGUUUUGUUGGUUUUAGCCUCUUUUGGAAGAAAAUGGGUGUAAGUGUUGUCUGAACACUCCUAAUCCAUCUCUAACUCAUAUAAUUAUUCAAAUGCAUUGGAUUGUGACACAUUUCGACCAAAGAAACACUAACAAAGCUAUCGACUGCUUCUAAGUAAUGUUUUGUUGGUUUUAGCCUCUUUUGUGACAAAAUGAGUGUAAGUGUUGUCUGAACACUCUUAAUCCAUCUCGAACUCUUAUAAUUAUUCAAAUGCAUUGGAUUGAGACACAGUUUGACCAUAUAAACACUAACAAAGCUGUUUACUGUUUCUAAGCAAA